Molecule: ribosomal RNA, 152 nt
Filed under: Caloplaca variabilis
Lineage: Eukaryota; Fungi; Ascomycota; Lecanoromycetes; Teloschistales; Teloschistaceae
Description: 5.8S ribosomal RNA
Rfam family: 5.8S ribosomal RNA
About the family: 5.8S ribosomal RNA (5.8S rRNA) is a component of the large subunit of the eukaryotic ribosome. It is transcribed by RNA polymerase I as part of the 45S precursor that also contains 18S and 28S rRNA.
Source: RNAcentral
CUUUCAACAACGGAUCUCUUGGUUCUGGCAUCGAUGAAGAACGCAGCGAAAUGCGAUAAGUAAUGUGAAUUGCAGAAUUCAGUGAAUCAUCGAAUCUUUGAACGCACAUUGCGCCCUCUGGUAUUCUGGGGGGCAUGCCUGUUCGAGCGUCA